AUUGAACGCUGGCGGCAGGCUUAACACAUGCAAGUCGAGCGGGGUGAUGGUGCUUGCACUAUCACUUAGCGGCGGACGGGUGAGUAAUGCUUAGGAAUCUGCCUAUUAGUGGGGGACAACAUCUCGAAAGGGAUGCUAAUACCGCCUACGUCCUACGGGAGAAAGCAGGGGAUCACUUGUGACCUUUCGCGAAUAGAUGAGCCUAAGUCGGAUUAGCUAGUUGGUGGGGUAAAGGCCUACCAAGGCGACGAUCUGGAGCGGGUCUGAGAGGAUGAUCCGCCACACUGGGACUGAGACACGGCCCAGACUCCUACGGGAGGCAGCAGUGGGGAAUAUUGGACAAUGGGGGGAACCCUGAUCCAGCCAUGCCGCGUGUGUGAAGAAGGCCUUAUGGUUGUAAAGCACUUUAAGCGAGGAGGAGGCUCUUUUGGUUAAUACCCAAGAUGAGUGGACGUUACUCGCAGAAUAAGCACCGGCUAACUCUGUGCCAGCCGCCGCGGUAA
Molecule: ribosomal RNA, 503 nt
Filed under: uncultured bacterium
Lineage: Bacteria
Description: partial 16S ribosomal RNA
Rfam family: Bacterial small subunit ribosomal RNA
Source: RNAcentral